RNAcentral lists this long non-coding RNA (1094 nucleotides) under Canis lupus familiaris (dog). Its description in RNAcentral is "lncRNA (ENSCAFG00845022192.1)". Lineage: Eukaryota; Metazoa; Chordata; Mammalia; Carnivora; Canidae. The record is from RNAcentral.
UUGUUGUUUUAGGUGAGAAGGUAAAUAAAUCCCUGUUACUACAUCUUGGCUGGACAUAGAAGUCUCUGGGUUUGAGUUUUGACCCUACACCUUGUGUGCUAUUUGAUUUUGGAAGAAUUACUCAGCCUCUUCCACUUCGUUGUUUAUGAAAUGGGGAUAAUAAUACAAUAAUUAAUUGAUGGAAUCAUACAGGGGAGAACAUGUUAUAGUCCAUGAGAUUAGGCACAGGAGUAUCCAUACACUGAAAGUGAACUUUAAAAAAACAAAACAAAACACAGCACCUGAAUGGGAUGAACUUUCUCCCUAGCAGAAAUCACCUGAACCUUUUUUUCUUGUCCAAAAAAGGGGCAUUUGCCUUAUAUAUUGCCCUUACUCUAAAUAAUGACCCUGCCAUUUACCUGUGGACCUACUGGUAAAGGGGGCACAGGCCAAAAGGCAACUUGUCUCCUCCAAGAACCCAUGGGGCAAAAAACAAGUUUACCUGAAACAUUCUGUCAAAGCUAUACCACCACAGGAUUAUAGUCCCAUUAGCAGAGUCUGUGUAAUUUGUGGUUAAAAAAAUUGUUUUUUUUCUUUAUUUCACCUUAAUCAGUUUUACCAAAUUCCUAUGAAGCAAAAUACAUAAUUAUAAAUUGAGAACAUCUGCCUACAAUUACAAAUAUAUGGAAUUCAUUCAGUUUAUGAUCACUACUUUGACAUUUUAAAAGAAAGUGAUGUUUUUUAAAGAGAAGAUAUCUGUUUUCUGACAUAUUAAAAUUCUAACUUAGUAAUGUGAGAAAAUACUAAAAUUGUAUGGCUUUUUUAUUGCAUGUUUAUUUAGGCCAAACCAGUAUGAGGCAGCUAGAUUAAUUACUUUUUUACUGUUAAGUACUGUACAUAGUUAAUUAUUUCAUCUAAGUCAUGUCUGAGCCAAACCUGUGAAUUACUGUUCAUGCAGGGCAAUGAUGAUAAUUUAUGUACUCCCUCCAUGCUACAGCUUGUUAAUAUAUUAUUUUUGAUUUGAAACUAGAUGUUAAAAGUUGGCAAGAGGCUUUUAAAGACUACUCCGUGACAUAAGUUCUAAAAUUAUGGAUUUCAAAAUUAAGGUUGACAAC